Molecule: unclassified non-coding RNA, 3072 nt
Filed under: Hevea brasiliensis (rubber tree)
Lineage: Eukaryota; Viridiplantae; Streptophyta; Magnoliopsida; Malpighiales; Euphorbiaceae
Source: RNAcentral
AAAUAAUAAUAAUAAUAAUAAAUCCUAAGCCAAAAGCCAGAAAUUUUUGUCCUCUUGGUGGUGAUCAAAUAGCCUCCAAGCUUUUUGCCCUUCCUCCUCACUGCAAUUGUCAUGCAUGAAGAAUUUUGGAUACAGUACUCCACUGCUCCGCCACCAUUCCUCUUCCCAGCCCACCGCUUCAUUAGCCGCCACAUUAUCGGCCGUUUUCUCUGCCCUAAAACCAGCAGCGACACCCUUUGUUGCUUUGCUUCUUCCACUACGAUCGGACCCUUUUCUUUCCCUUCACGGAUAGCUACCUCUACUUGCACCCCAGGCCUUUUCUUUUGACACAAAUUUUUCAUAGAGUGAAGAAGUUCAUAAGCCCUUAAAUUAACCUUUAAUUUGCACUCAGCACCCUGCUUGGAACUGGGUGGUUUGCCAACGUACAGAAGAACAAUGGUAUCUUGGCUUUGAACUGUGUGAGACAGUGCCCAUUCAAGAGCUCCCUUGGCUUCAAGGCUAAAAUCUACCAGCACCAUAACCUUGUUGCCAUUUCUAUACCCAUCCUCACCACCAAAUUCCUCCAUUCCACUUCCCAAAAAUUCAAUCUUUUGAUCAUUGUCCACAGAAUUUGAAGUGGGUUUGCCACGAACAGACGGGGAACGAACCCGAAUACGAGCCACGGACCUGCUGAUGGAAAGCUUGGGCGAUCUGGUUAGUGAUAAAGCCAUAAUUUUGAGCACAAUAGUUUUGGUGGGAAACUGAGCAAUAUAUAUACAAGUUGUAAAGCAGCAGUGGUGGCGUCCCGGCGGUUGGUUGCUUCGAUAUCAAAGUCUAGCUUGUUAAUCAAUUGGCGUUGUGUUUCUUGAGAAUUCUAUGUGGGCGGCCUCUUCUUCAACGUGCUUACCAUGUUGUUAUGGACCAUUUGACACAAUUUCUUAAAUGGUUAAUCAACCUAUUGCAGGCAUGAGACAUGGCUCUCAUGCCUGCAAUCAUUGACUUCAGUGAUAUGUUCUGUGUAUAUAUUAUUCUUCAACUAACUAAUAAAAUACAAAAUUUAAAGAAAGAGAAUAUAGAGAGCAGAAAUUUAUAUCCUUUGCAUAAGGAGAUAAGAAUUUUGAUAAUUAAUAUUUUUUUCUCUUAUGAUUCAUUCCUGUGCCAUCACACGUGGAUAGUAUGGUCAACUCUGUUUUUUUUUUUUAACUAUUAAAUUCUCAAGAGAAAAUAUUAAAUCUCACAAAUCCACGUCAAUAUCAUAUUCAAUUUUUUUUUCUUAUUUACCAAGAAAUUAUAUAAAUAGUAGUGAUAUUUUAUAUGGGAUGACAAUCUAAUACUGAGUGGACAUACAUAUUGAUGUGAGUCCUAAUAAAUAAAUAUUUAUAUAUGAGUAGAUCUAAAAAUUUAUAAUUACCUUGCAAUUUUUUUUUAAUAAUAAUUAUAUUUACAUAUAUAUAUAAUUAUUAUUUAUUUACCAUUCAAUAUCAAAUGCUAGAUUUACACCUUUUAGGUACAUGCAAAAUAUAUAUAUGGUGUGUGUGCGUGGGGGGCCUCCAAGUGGGAGCCUAAACAACUAAAACUCAUUGGUUAUACAUAUUUAUGUUAGUACAAUAUAUAAAAAGAGGAAUACAUAUACAGAGUGAUAUAUGGAAAAUGCCAUCCGAUUGAAGCUUCAAAAUACAUAAUCGAAACUUAAUAUAUGGCAAAUGCUCUAUCAACAAACUGAAAAUAUUUUAAACUUGCCUACGUUAUAAAUAGGAGUCCCUUACCAAUCGAACCCACCUGCCCACAUCUUACUGCGUAUAGGCCAUCAAAAUUUUCAUUACUCGUUCAGGUGGGGAAGCAUCCAAGCAGGAAGAAUUGCAUUACCUCGAUGUUGGAUUGGAGUUGUUUCAUCCUCACCUCUAUUGCCUCUGAUGUUCAAGGACUGCGCUGUAACAGUAGAUGAAUCUACACCAUGAUUUUGUUGCUCCAUUUGUGUCUGCUGAGCCAUUUCCUUCUCUUUCUCCUUGACCUGGUUUUGGUUCAAAGCAUCAUAUUACUUCUGAUUAGGAGGAAUAAUACAUAAUUUGGAGAAACUGAGAAAGUGUAGAAACAUCACCUUCUUUGCAAAUUGGUUGUUUUGCUCCUGCAAUGCCUUGCUCUAUAAAGAAAGACAAAUGAGUUGUCCAUAGAUAGAAUUAAACUAUUGCAAAUCACAAGUUUAUACCAUUUUCUCCGACGCCUUCCGCAAUGAAAAAAAAGAAAAACAACUAUAUCAACACUGCAUGGGUUUAUGAAAAUAAGGACAGUUGGGGCUCACCUUCUUCUGCAACUCUGCAAUGGAUUCAUACAUCAAUUGGUUCUUUCUUGACCUUAUGUGUUUAAGAGCAGAAUCAAUUUGUUGCUCCAAACUCUGAAGCUCUUUGAGGCUCAAGGUGUCGAGAUCUCUCCCCAUGAAAUGCCUGCAAACGUAAAGUUGAAAGUGAAAUAUUCCAUCUUGUUUUUCCAGUUGUUCCUGCACAAGAAACUUGCAGCAAUUAAUCUUUUAUCAGAUUUUAUGUCCAUGCCUUUGGUUUCUUUGUAAAACCUCCAGUCUAGCCUUCAACUUCACAUAUUCCAGAGUCCAGCUACCCUGAAAAUAUAGAUCACAUCAUCUGAUAUUUUCUUGAUAAUUUCAAUAAUACAAGAAAAGAUGCAAAAGUCGAUUAACAAAAGAGGAGAUGAUAUUCUUUCUGAUAUGGAUCCAAACCAAAUAAUUGUGUUCUAACCAUGGCAACACUACCCUUGUUUCUGAUUCCAGUAUAAUAAUCAAUUUUAUUUGAAAUAAAAGGCAUGCUUGGUGAGCAAAGACAGUUGGAGGCACGAUUCUGCAUCAUAUACAGGACUGAUCUUUUACUUGGGAACUCAUGUAGCUAGUAGAUGGGAGCGUACAUUUGUUUCGGUAUCAGUUGCAACAAGCUGCCUCUCUGCAUAUGAAUAUCUCUCAUAACGUUCCAGGAUCCUUUCCAUGCUGGAAUCAGUAGAGUAUUCAAAAAGCUUCCCUUUGGUGGAGAAGACGAUCAAAGCAACCUCAGCAUCACAAUUUUUCCGUUCAAAGUUCGCCAAAAUACUACG